Molecule: ribosomal RNA, 253 nt
Filed under: uncultured bacterium
Lineage: Bacteria
Description: partial 16S ribosomal RNA
Rfam family: Bacterial small subunit ribosomal RNA
Source: RNAcentral
ACAGAGAGAUGCGAUGCGGCGACGCAGAGCGGAACUUCAAAGCCUGUCUCAGUUCGGAUUGGAGUCUGCAACCCGACUCCAUGAAGCUGGAUUCGCUAGUAAUCGCGCAUCAGCCACGGCGCGGUGAAUACGUUCCCGGGCCUUGUACACACCGCCCGUCAAGCCAUGGGAGCCGGGGGUACCUGAAGUACGUAACCGCAAGGAGCGUCCUAGGGUAAAACUGGUGACUGGGGCUAAGUCGUAACAAGGUAUC